RNAcentral lists this long non-coding RNA (859 nucleotides) under Brassica napus (rape). Its description in RNAcentral is "long non-coding RNA (BNAP_LNC000674)". The record is from RNAcentral. Lineage: Eukaryota; Viridiplantae; Streptophyta; Magnoliopsida; Brassicales; Brassicaceae.
GUUAAUGGAAAUAUAUUAUAUAAAAUGUAAUUUCUAAGUUUUAAUGUGCAAUGUUAUAUAACUUAUUAGACCGGUAACCAAUUUCGUACCAUUUAACAAAAUAUAUAUCAGGUGUUGAUAUGUAUUUUUAAGAUCUUGGCAAACAACUUAAGAAACGAUAACAUGUUUUAUAACAACUAACUAAACAUGUAUCAAUUAAUGGAAUCAUAUAUUAUAUAAAAUGUAACUGCUAAGUUUUGACGUGCAAUGUUAUAUGACUUUUUAGACCGGUAACCAGUUUCGUAUCAUUUAACAAACUAUGUAUCAACCAAUGUCGCUAUUUAUUAAAAUCUUAUUAAUCAUUUUAAAUAUCUUUAGAAAAGAUUAUAACAGCUAAGCAAAUAUUUACCUACUCACUAUACUGGACUAGCACCUCCAUCAUCUUCAUCGUGGUCUUCACCAAACCACUAACUUCCGAGAUCCGAUUCCCGAGUUCUUACAAAAUCCAUCUCUGUUUCCUCACCAAUCGCUGUGUGGUGGUUGUCAAUCUUGACUUUCUUGUCACCGGAUCCCGUCGUAACUGUUGGAUCUUUCACCAUGGUUCGGAUUCUGGGUUGCGGACUCUCUAACUUUUGAAUCGGAUUCGGGAGGCAGGGAAACAGGGGUGGAUUUCUUAUCGGCGGAGAUGGUCAAAGUCGCGUAAUCGCCGCCGUAGGAGUAACGUGAGUGACAGCGUUGGCAUUGGCAUGAUCUGGAGGGUUUAAGUACAAAAUUAACAAUGGAUCCCAAAGUGAUAUUUCUUUGGAAGGUGUGUAUUUUGAAAUGGAAGAAGAACGAGAGAAAGAAAGAAGAAGAAGAUUGUUUGGUCAGGAGAAAUGUG